UGAGGAGCUUGACAAAACGAUGGGUGCCGAGGAAGAACACACGGACAUGGCAUACGCUUUGAGCGUCAAGGAACCAUCCGAGGAAAGUUUCAUGGAUCAAUUGUUUGACUUUGCCAAUGAAACAAAAAACGACGGAGCAAUCAACUCGCGGAGAAGUUUAUGUCCACGUUGCAGGCGUCCCCUGAGAGUUUGUUGGUGUCCCUACCUGCCACACGAACGACUGGAGAUAAAGACAAGCGUUUAUAUUCUCCAACAUCCAUUUGAGGAGUCCAGAUGUCUAAAAACGGCCCCCAUGCUCUGUAAUGGCUUGAAGGAAGGUACUUGUCAUGUUUACAAGGGAAAGAGAUUUCCUAAACAUAAGUUCCCUGAGUUGAUGAGAGUCCUGCAGGCUCCCAACACGCUGGUACUUUAUCCCGGCCCUGAUGCUAUUGACAUCUCCGAUGUUCCCACUGACGUCGCCUACAACCUGGUUCUGCUGGAUGGAACGUGGGCCCAGGCAAAGGGUCUUUACUGCCAGAACCACGUCAUUCAGCUGCCAAAGAAGGUACAAAUCAACCACCAGGAGAAGAGUAAGUACGUGAUCCGAACUCAGCCGACCGAUGGCGCCCUGUCCACGCUGGAGUCUGGAGCUGUCGCCAUCUCAGUCCUGGAAAACAGACCCGAAAUAGUAGAGCCGCUGACACGCCCCCUUGUGGCGCUGUGUGACUUCCAGAUCCAGCAUGGUGCCGUGCAGCACCAGAGCAGGGAGUUCAAGAUCGAGAAUGGUCUGUGGAGUAAGGAACUGCCAAAAUCGGUAAAGAAACGGUUAGAAAAAAGAAAACAAGAGAAGGAGACCUACUCAUAACACAGAGAGUCCGAUCAGUGGGACGGAAGAAACCAAAUAUGGACUACGUAGACACAGGCAGUCCGAGGUGCUGCAUGUGAAGAUGGAAGAUGGAAAGUUGUGUGGAAUCCUUGGUUUCAAUUUUGGACAUUUUCAGUUCAAAGGUCAUCACAAACAAUAUGUGUAUGGACCAUCCUAUCCGUGAAGAUCUGGGUUGGAAUAGGUCUUCAGCAACCCAUGCUUGUCGUAAGAGGCGACUAACGGGAUCGGGUGGUCAGGCUCUCUGACUUGGUGGAUGCAUGUCAUCGUAUCCAAAUUGCGUGAAUCGAUGUGCAUGAUGUCAGUCACUGGAUUGUCUGGUCCAGACUCGAUUAUUUACAGACCACCGUCAUAUAGAUGGAAUAUUGCUGAGUGCGGUGUUAAACAACAAAUAAAUGUUGGUAAGGAGUUUGUGUUGAGAUGAAUGUACCUGGCAGAGAACCAAUGAGGAAGAGUGAAACAACUGCCACGGGACUAACAUAGGACUUUUCAAGCUGUAUGCGGCCUGGACAAGAUUCACAACACUUGGCUUGGUUCUACAAGGUGUUUUGAUAUUUAGGAGUGGGUUGGAGAAUAAGGCAAAGUGUGGAUUUUGAAUUAUUCUGUGGCCAAAUUUACAGGUGCUUUUACAAUCCUUUAUAUGAGCUUCAAACAAGAACGGUGUUGUGAUGAAAAUCUAAGCUGUGACUUACUUUAUCAUGUGUCGAUGAAAACAAUAUUGAACAAAGUAAUGACCUGGUAACAAAUUGCAGGAACAGUUAUUGUACAGUACUGUUUUUAUAAGUUUAUUUUUCAAUUUCUACUGAUAAAUGUUUCCUGUAAAUCCUAUAUGAAAAAAACAACUAAUAGUAUUAUCCAGAUUCUAGAUUUGUCAAAUAUAUUGUCUGACAUCCUGGAUAGUAAAUACUAUCAUUAUUGGUUUCAGGCAAUGUGUGGGACUGGUUUCAUCUGAACAGUAGUCAUUGUGCUUGUGCAGGGUUGUGAGUGUAUGUGCAGGGUUGUGAGUGUAUGUGCAGGGUCGUGAGUGUAUGUGCAGGGUUGUGAGUGUAUGUGCAGGGUUGUGAGAGAAUGUGCAGGGUUGUGAGUGUAUGUGCAGGGUUGUGAGUGUAUGUGCAGGGUCGUGGGUGUAUGUGCAGGGUCGUGGGUGUAUGUGCAGAUGUGAGAGAAUGUGCAGGGUUGUGAGUGUAUGUGCAGGGUCGUGAGUGUAUGUGCAGGGUCGUGGGUGUAUGUGCAAGGUUGUGAGUAUGUGCAGGGUUGUGGGUGUAUGUGCAGGGUUGUGAGUGUAUGUGCAGGGUCGUGGGUGUAUGUGCAAGGUUGUGAGUGUAUGUGCAGGGUUGUGAGUGUAUGUGCAGGGUUGUGAGUGUAUGUG
Molecule: unclassified non-coding RNA, 2231 nt
Filed under: Haliotis rufescens (red abalone)
Lineage: Eukaryota; Metazoa; Mollusca; Gastropoda; Lepetellida; Haliotidae
Description: tRNA-uridine aminocarboxypropyltransferase 2-like, transcript variant X1
Source: RNAcentral